ACGUAGGGGGCGAGCGUUGUCCGGAUUUACUGGGCGUAAAGGGUGAGCAGGCGGUAAUACGUGUCAGAUGUAAAAGGCUAAGGCUUAACCAUAGUUAGCAUUUGAAACUGUAUUACUUGAGUGCAGGAGAGGUAAGUGAAAUUCCUAGUGUAGCGGUGAAAUGCGUAGAUAUCGGGAGGAACACCCGUGGCGAAGGCGGCUCUCUGGCCUGUAACUGACGCUGAGGCGCGAAAGCGUGGGGAGCAAACAGGA
RNAcentral lists this ribosomal RNA (252 nucleotides) under uncultured prokaryote. Its description in RNAcentral is "partial 16S ribosomal RNA". It matches the Rfam family "Bacterial small subunit ribosomal RNA", at positions 525 to 777 of the family's 1533-position model. The record is from RNAcentral.